Molecule: ribosomal RNA, 372 nt
Filed under: uncultured organism
Description: bacterial SSU rRNA
Rfam family: Bacterial small subunit ribosomal RNA
Source: RNAcentral
CGUAGGGGGCGAGCGUUGUCCGGAUUUAUUGGGCGUAAAGGGCGUGUAGGCGGCUUUGCAAGUCAGGGGUGAAACCCCGGGGCUCAACCCCGGGCCUGCCUCUGAAACUGUGAGGCUUGAGUGCUCUAGAGGGCAGUGGAAUUCCCGGUGUAGCAGUGAAAUGCGUAGAGAUCGGGAGGAACACCAGUGGCGAAGGCGGCUGCCUGGGGAGUAACUGACGCUGAGGCGCGAAAGCUGGGGGAGCAAACAGGAUUAGAUACCCUGGUAGUCCCAGCCGUAAACGAUGAGUGCUAGGUGUGAGGGGUAUCGACCCCCCUCGUGCCGUAGUCAACGCAAUAAGCACUCCGCCUGGGGAGUACGGCCGCAAGGUUG